RNAcentral lists this long non-coding RNA (447 nucleotides) under Cicer arietinum (chickpea). Its description in RNAcentral is "long non-coding RNA (CARI_LNC002962)". Lineage: Eukaryota; Viridiplantae; Streptophyta; Magnoliopsida; Fabales; Fabaceae. The record is from RNAcentral.
AAGGUGACACCACUUAACAACAAGCAUAGGAAAGCCGCAUAAAUGAAUUUCCCAGGUCACAACUUAUAUACAUGCACUUAUUCCAAACAAUUACAAGUGACGGACGUUCGUCCCAGUAGCAACAAAUUACGGGUAUAUGCCCCAAUAGAAACGAACAAGAGGCGAACAACUCAAUCCUCUAUCUUGAAUACUAGACUGGGAGCUUGGGGGGAAACUAUUCCUAAACUGCACUCAGACCCAAUUCGCAAUAGUUAUUGGUUUUUAUCCCAAUCCAAUGAAGACCAAACUCAAGGCAUGUCGUACCGCCAAACUCGUCUGAGGUGUCAAAUUUGAGCCCCAUCCAUCAAUCGGCUACCUCCAUUUCGCGUUUGAUUCCCAGUACCAGAAUAAUUGUCGCCACAUCACUAGUCCCCUGAGAAUCCCUAUAAAAAGGUUCUUGUACCUAAA